Molecule: transfer RNA, 72 nt
Organism: Camelus ferus (Wild Bactrian camel)
Lineage: Eukaryota; Metazoa; Chordata; Mammalia; Artiodactyla; Camelidae
Rfam family: tRNA
About the family: Transfer RNA (tRNA) molecules are approximately 80 nucleotides in length. Their secondary structure includes four short double-helical elements and three loops (D, anti-codon, and T loops).
Source: Rfam
GAGAGUAUAGCUCAGUGGUAGAGUUCAUGCCUAGUAUGCACGAGGUCCUGGGUUCAAUCCCCAGUACCUCCA